Molecule: ribosomal RNA, 315 nt
Filed under: Aeromonas veronii
Lineage: Bacteria; Pseudomonadati; Pseudomonadota; Gammaproteobacteria; Aeromonadales; Aeromonadaceae
Description: bacterial SSU rRNA
Rfam family: Bacterial small subunit ribosomal RNA
Source: RNAcentral
AAAUUGAAGAGUUUGAUCAUGGCUCAGAUUGAACGCUGGCGGCAGGCCUAACACAUGCAAGUCGAGCGGCAGCGGGAAAGUAGCUUGCUACUUUUGCCGGCGAGCGGCGGACGGGUGAGUAAUGCCUGGGGAUCUGCCCAGUCGAGGGGGAUAACUACUGGAAACGGUAGCUAAUACCGCAUACGCCCUACGGGGGAAAGCAGGGGACCUUCGGGCCUUGCGCGAUUGGAUGAACCCAGGUGGGAUUAGCUAGUUGGUGAGGUAAUGGCUCACCAAGGCGACGAUCCCUAGCUGGUCUGAGAGGAUGAUCAGCCA